This 497-nucleotide ribosomal RNA is filed under the name uncultured bacterium. RNAcentral's name for it is "partial 16S ribosomal RNA". It matches the Rfam family "Bacterial small subunit ribosomal RNA", at positions 28 to 507 of the family's 1533-position model. The record is from RNAcentral.
GAUGAACGCUGGCGGCGUGCCUAACACAUGCAAGUCGAGCGAACGGACGAGAAGCUUGCUUCUCUGUUGUUAGCGGCGCACGGGUGAGUAACGCGUGGAUAACCUCCCUAUCAGACUGGGAUAACUUCGGGAAACCGGAGCUAAUCCCGGAUAAUAUCUUGAACCGCAUGGUUCAUAAGAGAAAGACGGUCUUGCUGUCACUUCUCGAUGGAUCCGGGCUGCAUUAGCUAGUUGGUAAGGUAACGGCUUACCAAGGCAACUAUGCGUAGCCGACGUGAGAGGGGGAUAGGCGACAUGGGAGCGUGGACAGGCACCAUGCUCCUACGGGAGGCAGCAGUAGGGAAUGGUCGGCAAUAGUGGGAAGCCUGACGGAGUGGCGGCACGCGUGUGAUGGAGGUGUUCGGAGCGGAAAGCCCUGUUAUUAGUGAAGAACCUAUUUGGACGGAACUGAGGAGAGCGUGACGGUAAUGGAUCAGAAAGCAACGGCUAACUACGUG